Molecule: ribosomal RNA, 253 nt
Filed under: uncultured bacterium
Lineage: Bacteria
Description: partial 16S ribosomal RNA
Rfam family: Bacterial small subunit ribosomal RNA
Source: RNAcentral
GACGGAGGAUGCAAGUGUUAUCCGGAAUCACUGGGCGUAAAGCGUCUGUAGGUUGUUGAACAAGUCAACUGUUAAAUCUUGAGGCUCAACUUCAAAAUCUCAGUCGAAACUAUUCAACUAGAGUAUAGUAGAGGUAAAGGGAAUUCCCAGUGGAGCGGUGAAAUGCGUAGAUAUUGGGAAGAACACCGAUGGCGAAGGCACUUUACUGGGCUAUUACUGACACUCAGAGACGAAAGCUAGGGUAGCAAAUGGG